ACACUCUGGCAUGUUUUUUUCUGUGCAUUAAUAUAUAAAUUUCUGUCUAUUAUUGUAUAUUUCUGGUUUCUCCUUAAUAAAAAAAAAAAAAAGGUAGGUAUCAUCACGGUUUUUAUGACCUAUGUGUACAUUUUACCAGCUGUUACCUACAGUUUAUACAAAAAUGAUGGUCAUCGACCAGUGGUCGAUAUCUCAAACAUAAUAAUAGCGCGUUGAAUAAUACGAUCGCAUUAUGAUUCAUUAAAUAAAUAGAACCGAAUGUCAGGGCUUUACUGAGUCAUAUGUAAACCUAGUAUUUAUAUUUAAACUGUAAAUUCAUCUGAAACUCACGCACAUGUUUAUUAUGCGUUAAAAUUGUAAUCUUAGUUCAAAUGGAACAUAGGCAGCAUAUCCCCCGAACCUGCAGCUCCUGUCAAAAAACAACCAGACCGUUAUUUCCGGCGUGACGACCGAGUCUGUCCCAAAAAUACUUCUCAAUGCACCCUCGUGAACUUGCACUACAUGACGUCACCAAAGUGUGGACUCUGAGGAAGUCCACAAGUCCGGAGUGUGCCAUUUGGGACAGGGCUGAAGACCAGACCUCCGAAGCGCACGAAGGGUCCUCCGAAAUGCGUGAGAUGCUCCGCGCGCCUUCACAGGAUUUCCUAAUUGCGCCACCAGGUGUUUUCGAUUAGCGUAGCAACGGUGCCAGAGGAGCGCUGACGAGAGGACAGACCUUCCAGAAUAGGAUAGGUUGAGCCAGAAUUGCUCGUUUUUGUUUAUAUGAUUUACUCAUAAUGGAGGAGACGGUGAUGAACCUCAGGCUUAGCCAAGACCGAGGCCAGGUAAACUACACUGGUUUGCUGCGAUCUUUGUCGGAUUACAACUUUAAAUGCAGGGAGACCCUGACUGUGCUGCUGGAUCUACUGGGAAGUGAACGGCAACAUGGAUGGUGUGCCAUGAUCCAGACCCUGGUGUUUCUCUUCUGUCUGCUAGUGGUACAUCAUACAGAUGGUCUCCAGAGUGUUUGACAUGUGCCUCGUUCCACUGUCACCACACUGUCCUCCAAGUCUCUGAGGAGGUGCUGGUCAUUCACCAAGAGAUUCACCUCCUGAAGACCCCAGAACACAUGGAGGCAGGGCCGGGCUCAAACUGAUGUUGUUUUUCUGAUGUUAAACCUGUUGUAAAUGGUUGUAAAAACUACUUUCUAUUAUGUUUAGAACAAUUUGUUUUAAUGUGUAAAAAAGUAUUUACAGGACAAACAAAUAAACAUAAAAAAUAAUGUUUUGUGAAAAAAAUU
This is a long non-coding RNA of Cyprinus carpio (common carp), 1279 nucleotides long. The record is from Ensembl. NCBI's taxonomy places the organism in Eukaryota, Metazoa, Chordata, Actinopteri, Cypriniformes, Cyprinidae.